GACGUAGGGGGCCAGCGUUGCUCGGAAUUACUGGGCGUAAAGGGUUCGUAGGCGGUGCGGCAAGUCGGAAGUGAAAUCUCCAGGCUCAACUUGGAGGCUGCUCCCGAAACUGCCGUGCUAGAGUGCGGGAGAGGCCAGUGGAAUUGCAGGUGUAGCGGUGAAAUGCGCAGAUAUCAGGAGGAACACCGGUGGCGAAGGCGGAUCUCUGGGCCUUACCUGACGCUGAGGCGCGAAAGCUAGGGGAGCAAACAGG
Molecule: ribosomal RNA, 253 nt
Filed under: uncultured bacterium
Lineage: Bacteria
Description: partial 16S ribosomal RNA
Rfam family: Bacterial small subunit ribosomal RNA
Source: RNAcentral